Molecule: non-coding RNA, 199 nt
Organism: Oryza meridionalis
Lineage: Eukaryota; Viridiplantae; Streptophyta; Magnoliopsida; Poales; Poaceae
Source: Rfam
UUUAAAUACAAUUAUGAGUUUUCGUGCCCCAUUUUGAUUGUUCGUUUUAUUUAAUUUUUUUAUAAUUAGUAUUUUUAUUGUUAUAAGAUGAUAAAAUAUGAAUAAUACUUUAUGCGUGAAUUAUGUUCUCAUUUUUUUUAAAAAAAUAAAAUAAGAUGAACGAUCAAGUUGGAUAUAGAAAAUUAUUGCUACACUUAUA